RNAcentral lists this ribosomal RNA (484 nucleotides) under uncultured bacterium. Its description in RNAcentral is "partial 16S ribosomal RNA". It matches the Rfam family "Bacterial small subunit ribosomal RNA", at positions 30 to 507 of the family's 1533-position model. The record is from RNAcentral.
AUUGAACGCUGGCGGCAGGCCUAACACAUGCAAGUCGAGCGGAUGAAGGGAGCUUGCUCCUGGAUUCAGCGGCGGACGGGUGAGUAAUGCCUAGGAAUCUGCCUGGUAGUGGGGGAUAACGUCCGGAAACGGGCGCUAAUACCGCAUACGUCCUGAGGGAGAAAGUGGGGGAUCUUCGGACCUCACGCUAUCAGAUGAGCCUAGGUCGGAUUAGCUAGUUGGUGGGGUAAAGGCCUACCAAGGCGACGAUCCGUAUCUGGUCUGAGAGGAUGAUCAGUCACACUGGAACUGAGACACGGUCCAGACUCCUACGGGAGGCAGCAGUGGGGAAUAUUGGACAAAGGGCGAAAGCCUGAUCCAGCCAUGCCGCGUGUGUGAAGAAGGUCUUCGGAUUGUAAAGCACUUUAAGUUGGGAGGAAGGGCAGUAAGUUAAUACCUUGCUGUUUUGACGUUACCAACAGAAUAAGCACCGGCUAACUUCGUG